Molecule: long non-coding RNA, 504 nt
Organism: Hippoglossus stenolepis (Pacific halibut)
Lineage: Eukaryota; Metazoa; Chordata; Actinopteri; Pleuronectiformes; Pleuronectidae
Exons: 2
Source: RefSeq, a predicted model, not a curated record
AGAGAGAGAGAGAGAGAGAGAGAGAGAGAGAGAGAGAGAGAGAGAGCGAGCAAAACUUUUCAUCCUGUUUGAAAUUUUUGUGAUUUAGUUUUUUUUUUAAACGUCACUCAGCAGAACACACAACUCUUCCAAAGCCAAGCAAUCCUACAUGUUUGUUAUGAAAAAAUGUAGCUCAGUUCAGGGAGAUGAUUUUCUGUGAAUAAUAAUGCUCUAUUACUUUUCUCUUUUUGUUACAGAGAAGAGCUAGAGAUUGUCGGGACUAUCCAAGAGCAUGUAGCUUUUUACCAAGGCACCGCAAUCUUAAAAGAGAAGCUUGAAACGAUCCUACGUCCUGCAGAGAAACUUCAGUGAUCAGUGUGAUGGAAACCAGAAGUACCACUUGAGCUGUCCAUCAAACAAGCUUUGCAGUAACUGCCAUGAUAUAAAAUCUAUAUUACUAAUCGUCUGUCUCACAGAACAAAUACUUUUUUUUCUAUUAAUGCAAAAUAAAAUAAAUGAAUCAGA